GAUGAACGCUGGCGGCGUGCCUAAUACAUGCAAGUCGAGCGAACAGACGAGGAGCUUGCUCCUCUGACGUUAGCGGCGGACGGGUGAGUAACACGUGGAUAACCUACCUAUAAGACUGGGAUAACUUCGGGAAACCGGAGCUAAUACCGGAUAAUAUAUUGAACCGCAUGGUUCAAUAGUGAAAGACGGUUUUGCCGUCACUUAUAGAUGUAUCCGCGCCGCAUUAGCUAGUUGGUAAGGUAACGGCUUACCAAGGCGACGAUGCGUAGCCGACCUGAGAGGGUGAUCGGCCACACUGGAACUGAGACACGGUCCAGACUCCUACGGGAGGCAGCAGUAGGGAAUCUUCCGCAAUGGGCGAAAGCCUGACGGAGCAACGCCGCGUGAGUGAUGAAGGUCUUCGGAUCGUAAAACUCUGUUAUUAGGGAAGAACAAAUGUGUAAGUAACUAUGCACGUCUUGACGGUACCUAAUCAGAAAGCCACGGCUAACUACGUG
RNAcentral lists this ribosomal RNA (497 nucleotides) under uncultured bacterium. Its description in RNAcentral is "partial 16S ribosomal RNA". It matches the Rfam family "Bacterial small subunit ribosomal RNA", at positions 28 to 507 of the family's 1533-position model. The record is from RNAcentral.